Molecule: ribosomal RNA, 1244 nt
Filed under: metagenome
Description: bacterial LSU rRNA
Rfam family: Bacterial large subunit ribosomal RNA
Source: RNAcentral
UGAAUACGAGAUACUACGGUGUCGAAGCAGUCUAUGUCAUACUUCCAAGAAAAGCUUGCACUGUCAUAAACAAAUAAUGCCUGUACCAUAACCGACACAGGUGGGUAGGUAGAGUAUACUAAGGGGCGCGAGAUAACUCUCUCUAAGGAACUCGGCAAAAUGACUCCGUAACUUCGGGAGAAGGAGUGCCUUAUAUUUAUAAGGUUGCAAUAACAAGAUCCAAGCAACUGUUUAUCAAAAACACAGGUCUCCGCUAAGUCGUAAGACGAUGUAUGGGGGCUGACGCCUGCCCAGUGCCAGAAGGUUAAAGAAGUUGGUUAGCUUUUGCGAAGCUGAUAACUGAAGCCCUGGUGAACGGCGGCCGUAACCAUAACGGUCCUAAGGUAGCGAAAUUCCUUGUCGGGUAAGUUCCGACCCGCACGAAAGGCGUAAUGAUUUGGAUACUGUCUCGGAGAGGGACUCGGUGAAAUAGACUUGUCUGUGAAGAUGCGGACUACUUGCACCAGGACAGAAAGACCCUAUGAAGCUUUACUGUAACCUGAAAUUGAAAUUGGACUUUACUUGCGCAGGAUAGGUGGGAGGCUUUGAGAAUAUUCUUGCGGGAAUAUUGGAGCCAUCAGUGAGAUACCACUCUGGUAAUGUUAGAUUUCUAACUUUGUAUCAUUAUCUGGUCAAAGAACAGUUUCAGGCGGGCAGUUUGACUGGGGCGGUCGCCUCCUAAACGGUAACGGAGGCGCACAAAGGUUUCCUCUGAACGGGUAGAAAUCGUAUCUAGAGUGUAAAGGCAUAAGGAAGCUUGACUGUGAGACCUACAAGUCGAGCAGGGACGAAAGUCGGUCUUAGUGAUCUGACGGUGCUGAGUGGAAAGGCCGUCACUCAACGGAUAAAAGUUACUCUAGGGAUAACAGGCUGAUCUCCCCCAAGAGUUCACAUCGACGGGGAGGUUUGGCACCUCGAUGUCGGCUCAUCGCAUCCUGGGGCGGUAGUACGUCCCAAGGGUUGGGCUGUUCGCCCAUGAAAGCGGUACGCGAGCUGGGUUCAGAACGUCGUGAGACAGUUCGGUCCAUAUCCGGUGUAAGCGUUAGAAUAUUGAGAGGAGCCUUCUUUAGUACGAGAGGACCGAGAAGGAUGCACCGCUGGUGUACCAGUUAUUGUGCCAACAGUAAACGCUGGGUAGCUAUGUGUGGAGUGGAUAACCGCUGAAAGCAUCUAAGUGGGAAGCCCACCUCAUGAUAAGUAUUCUC